Molecule: ribosomal RNA, 246 nt
Filed under: uncultured bacterium
Lineage: Bacteria
Description: partial 16S ribosomal RNA
Rfam family: Bacterial small subunit ribosomal RNA
Source: RNAcentral
UACGUAUGUCGCAAGCGUUAUCCGGAUUUAUUGGGCGUAAAGCGUGUCUAGGCGGGUUAGUAAGUUUAAUGUGAAAAUGCGGGGCUCAACCCCGUAUAGCGUUGGAUACUGCUAAACUAGAGUACUGGAGAGGUAAGCGGAACUACAAGUGUAGAGGUAAAAUUCGUAGAUAUUUGUAGGAAUGCCGAUGGGGAGGGCUGCCUCCUGGACAGAGACUGACGCUAAAGUGCGAAAGCGUGGGUAGCA